CAGCAGCCGCGGUAAUACGAAGGGGGCUAGCGUUGUUCGGAAUUACUGGGCGUAAAGCGCGUGUAGGCGGGUCUUUAAGUCAGAGGUGAAAUGCCAAGGCUCAACCUUGGAACUGCCUUUGAUACUGGAGAUCUUGAGUCCGGGAGAGGUGAGUGGAAUUGCGAGUGUAGAGGUGAAAUUCGUAGAUAUUCGCAAGAACACCAGUGGCGAAGGCGGCUCACUGGCCCGGAACUGACGCUGAGACGCGAAAGCGUGGGGAGCAAACAGGAUUAGAUACCCCGGUAGUCCCUGUCUCUUAUAC
RNAcentral lists this ribosomal RNA (301 nucleotides) under uncultured bacterium. Its description in RNAcentral is "partial 16S ribosomal RNA". It matches the Rfam family "Bacterial small subunit ribosomal RNA", at positions 509 to 807 of the family's 1533-position model. The record is from RNAcentral.